This is an unclassified non-coding RNA of Pongo abelii (Sumatran orangutan), 117 nucleotides long. It matches the Rfam family "Metazoan signal recognition particle RNA". Rfam says of the family: The signal recognition particle (SRP) is a universally conserved ribonucleoprotein. NCBI's taxonomy places the organism in Eukaryota, Metazoa, Chordata, Mammalia, Primates, Hominidae. The record is from Ensembl.
GUUGGGCGUGGUGGCUCACGCCUGUAAUCCUAGCACUUUGGGAGGCUGAGGCAGGUGGAUCACCUGAGGUCGGGAGUUCAAGACCAGCCUGACCAACAUGGAGAAACCCUGUCUCUA